GUAAUGUCUGGGAAACUGCCUGAUGGAGGGGGAUAACUACUGGAAACGGUAGCUAAUACCGCAUAACGUCGCAAGACCAAAGAGGGGGACCUUCGGGCCUCUUGCCAUCAGAUGUGCCCAGAUGGGAUUAGCUAGUAGGUGGGGUAACGGCUCACCUAGGCGACGAUCCCUAGCUGGUCUGAGAGGAUGACCAGCCACACUGGAACUGAGACACGGUCCAGACUCCUACGGGAGGCAGCAGUGGGGAAUAUUGCACAAUGGGCGCAAGCCUGAUGCAGCCAUGCCGCGUGUAUGAAGAAGGCCUUCGGGUUGUAAAGUACUUUCAGCGGGGAGGAAGGUGUUGUGGUUAAUAACCACAGCAAUUGACGUUACCCGCAGAAGAAGCACCGGCUAACUCCGUGCCAGCAGCCGCGGUAAUACGGAGGGUGCAAGCGUUAAUCGGAAUUACUGGGCGUAAAGCGCACGCAGGCGGUCUGUCAAGUCGGAUGUGAAAUCCCCGGGCUCAACCUGGGAACUGCAUUCGAAACUGGCAGGCUAGAGUCUUGUAGAGGGGGGUAGAAUUCCAGGUGUAGCGGUGAAAUGCGUAGAGAUCUGGAGGAAUACCGG
RNAcentral lists this ribosomal RNA (606 nucleotides) under Enterobacter kobei. RNAcentral's name for it is "bacterial SSU rRNA". It matches the Rfam family "Bacterial small subunit ribosomal RNA", at positions 110 to 712 of the family's 1533-position model. The record is from RNAcentral. Lineage: Bacteria; Pseudomonadati; Pseudomonadota; Gammaproteobacteria; Enterobacterales; Enterobacteriaceae.